UGCGCAGGCGGCUCGCUAAGUCGGAUGUGAAAGCCCCGGGCUUAACCUGGGAAUUGCAUUCGAUACUGGCAAGCUAGAGUCUGGUAGAGGUAAGCGGAAUUCCGGGUGUAGCGGUGAAAUGCGUAGAUAUCCGGAGGAACAUCAGUGGCGAAGGCGGCUUACUGGACCAAGACUGACGCUCAUGCACGAAAGCGUGGGUAGCAAACA
RNAcentral lists this ribosomal RNA (207 nucleotides) under uncultured bacterium. RNAcentral's name for it is "partial 16S ribosomal RNA". It matches the Rfam family "Bacterial small subunit ribosomal RNA", at positions 568 to 774 of the family's 1533-position model. The record is from RNAcentral.